UGCAGCCGGGGAGUCAGCGGUGCCCUGUACCUGCAAUCCGCUCUAGCAGGGGUGAUAAUCUGUCCCGGAUACUUUUUUGUAAAGCAGCCUUUUGUAAGUGGCGUUGAAGCUUGGGUCUUAUGCAAUAGAAAUUUAUGAACCGUGUCAGGUCAGGAAUGAAGCAGCACUAAGUAAAACCUUCUAUGUGAUGUAAGGCAGCCUGAGCCGAGUUAACUGCAGAAGUAACGUUUA
Molecule: signal recognition particle RNA, 231 nt
Filed under: pig gut metagenome
Description: Bacterial large signal recognition particle RNA
Rfam family: Bacterial large signal recognition particle RNA
About the family: The signal recognition particle (SRP) is a universally conserved ribonucleoprotein involved in the co-translational targeting of proteins to membranes.
Source: RNAcentral